UACGGGGGGAGCAAGCGUUGUUCGGAUUUACUGGGCGUAAAGGGCUCGUAGGCGGCCAACUAAGUCAGACGUGAAAUCCCUCGGCUUAACCGGGGAACUGCGUCUGAUACUGGAUGGCUUGAAUCCGGGAGAGGGAUGCGGAAUUCCAGGUGUAGCGGUAAAAUGCGUAGAUAUCUGGAGGAACACCGGUGGCGAAGGCGGCAUCCUGGACCGGUAUUGACGCUGAGGAGCGAAAGCCAGGGGAGCAAACGGG
This 253-nucleotide ribosomal RNA is filed under the name uncultured bacterium. RNAcentral's name for it is "partial 16S ribosomal RNA". It matches the Rfam family "Bacterial small subunit ribosomal RNA", at positions 524 to 776 of the family's 1533-position model. The record is from RNAcentral.